Long non-coding RNA from Xenia sp. Carnegie-2017, 182 nucleotides. RefSeq lists it as uncharacterized. The transcript has 2 exons. Lineage: Eukaryota; Metazoa; Cnidaria; Anthozoa; Malacalcyonacea; Xeniidae. The record is from RefSeq and is a predicted model, not a curated record.
AUGAGACAAUUCCUGAGUUGGCAAAAUUGUUGUUAAGUUUGACUCGGAUUGUUGUAUUUGUUGUUGACUACAGAAAAGCUCAUUCCGAGUCAUCAAAACAAUGGCUUUCCAUACUCGAGAAAGAAAACGUACCUGUUCUUGUUUGUUUAACAUUUGGUGACAGACUUUUUGUUGAAUUAAUG